This 431-nucleotide ribosomal RNA is filed under the name uncultured bacterium. RNAcentral describes it as "bacterial SSU rRNA". It matches the Rfam family "Bacterial small subunit ribosomal RNA", at positions 355 to 796 of the family's 1533-position model. The record is from RNAcentral.
UCGAGGAUCUUCGGCAAUGGGCGCAAGCCUGACCGAGCGACGCCGCGUGCGCGAUGAAGGCCUUCGGGUUGUAAACCGCUGUCGAGGGGGAGAAAGCCGAAAGGUUGAUCUAUCCCUGGAGGAAGCACGGGCUAAGUUCGUGCCAGCAGCCGCGGUAAGACGAACCGUGCGAACGUUGUUCGGAUUCACUGGGCUUAAAGGGCGCGUAGGCGGGCUACCAAGUCAGGGGUGAAAUCUUUCGGCUCAACCGGAAAAGUGCCCCUGAUACUGGUAGUCUUGAGGGAGGUAGGGGCAUGUGGAACUUCCGGUGGAGCGGUGAAAUGCGUAGAUAUCGGAAGGAACGCCGGUGGCGAAAGCGACGUGCUGGCCCUCUUCUGACGCUGAGGCGCGAAAGCUAGGGGAGCGAACGGGAUUAGAUACCCGCGUAGUCC